UUCAGUUUAUUUUUUUAGAGCUUUCCACUCACAAGGCCUUUAAAUCUCACAAAUUACUCACAAGACUUUGGCUGGGGAGGCUCAUAAUCUCCAACUGAAGUCAUUUUUCAUCAAUAAGAAAGGCAAGGAUGCCCUUCUUGCAUCUAAGGUGCCUUCAGUAGAUGGACAAAAACACAAUCUACAUACUUCAAAAAACUGAAAGAUACAAUCAUGUGACACAGGUGUCUAUACCAGCAAAGCGAUUUAAAAUAACUGAGGGAACAUUGAGAGGGUGGAGUUAGUAAAGAAAAUCCAGCAAGGAGUGAGUGUUGAGUUUUCACAUGGUGUGGAAUUUAGCUUAAUGGGUGUGGAAUUUAGCUUAAUGGGAAACUCAGUGUGUCACCGGAAAUCUCCUCAGAGAUCUAAACUUUCUGCCCAGAGUUGAAGGCCAAGGGUAGAGAAGACCCCUGAGCUUGCAUGGAUCCUGGCAGUUUGCCUUGGGAGGGGUGGAAAGAAGUUGCUGUGAUAUAAUAUAAAGGGUCAUAGACACAAGGCAGA
Molecule: long non-coding RNA, 537 nt
Filed under: Bos taurus (domestic cattle)
Lineage: Eukaryota; Metazoa; Chordata; Mammalia; Artiodactyla; Bovidae
Description: long non-coding RNA NONBTAT019619
Source: RNAcentral